AGUCGUAACAAGGUUUCCGUAGGUGAACCUGCGGAAGGAUCAUUACUGAUUUGCUUAAUUGCACCACAUGUGUUUUUCUUUGAAACAAACUUGCUUUGGCGGUGGGCCCAGCCUGCCGCCAGAGGUCUAAACUUACAACCAAUUUUUUAUCAACUUGUCACACCAGAUUAUUACUAAUAGUCAAAACUUUCAACAACGGAUCUCUUGGUUCUCGCAUCGAUGAAGAACGCAGCGAAAUGCGAUACGUAAUAUGAAUUGCAGAUAUUCGUGAAUCAUCGAAUCUUUGAACGCACAUUGCGCCCUCUGGUAUUCCGGAGGGCAUGCCUGUUUGAGCGUCGUUUCUCCCUCAAACCGCUGGGUUUGGUGUUGAGCAAUACGACUUGGGUUUGCUUGAAAGACGGUAGUGGUAAGGCGGGAUCGCUUUGACAAUGGCUUAGGUCUAACCAAAAACAUUGUUUGCGGCGGUAACGUCCACCACGUAUAUCUUCAAACUUUGACCUCAAAUCAGGUAGGACUACCCGCUGAACUUAAGCAUAUCAAUAG
RNAcentral lists this unclassified non-coding RNA (543 nucleotides) under Candida albicans. RNAcentral describes it as "sequence contains 18S rRNA gene, ITS1, 5.8S rRNA gene, ITS2, 28S rRNA gene". The stretch from base 185 to 338 matches the Rfam family "5.8S ribosomal RNA". Lineage: Eukaryota; Fungi; Ascomycota; Pichiomycetes; Serinales; Debaryomycetaceae. The record is from RNAcentral.